RNAcentral lists this ribosomal RNA (465 nucleotides) under uncultured bacterium. Its description in RNAcentral is "partial 16S ribosomal RNA". It matches the Rfam family "Bacterial small subunit ribosomal RNA", at positions 28 to 507 of the family's 1533-position model. The record is from RNAcentral.
GACGGACGCUGGCGGCGUGCUUAACACAUGCAAGUCGAACGCUGAACCCGCUUCGGUGGGGGAUGAGUGGCGAACGGGUGAGUAACACGUGGGCAACCUGCCCCCGGCUCUGGGAUAACUCCAAGAAAUUGGGGCUAAUACCGGAUGUGACCGCUGGCCGCAUGGUCUGGUGGUGGAAAGGGUUUCCGGCUGGGGAUGGGCCCGCGGCCUAUCAGCUUGUUGGUGGGGUAGUGGCCUACCAAGGCGACGACGGGUAGCCGGCCUGAGAGGGUGACCGGCCACACUGGGACUGAGACACGGCCCAGACUCCUACGGGAGGCAGCAGUGGGGAAUAUUGCGCAAUGGGCGGAAGCCUGACGCAGCGACGCCGCGUGGGGGAUGACGGCCUUCGGGUUGUAAACCUCUUUCAGCAGGGACGAAGCGCAAGUGACGGUACCUGCAGAAGAAGCACCGGCCAACUACGUG